Molecule: ribosomal RNA, 506 nt
Filed under: uncultured bacterium
Lineage: Bacteria
Description: partial 16S ribosomal RNA
Rfam family: Bacterial small subunit ribosomal RNA
Source: RNAcentral
AGUGAACGCUGGCGGUAGGCCUAACACAUGCAAGUCGAACGGCAGCACAGAGGAGCUUGCUCCUUGGGUGGCGAGUGGCGGACGGGUGAGGAAUACAUCGGAAUCUACUCUGUCGUGGGCGAUAACGCAGGGAAACUUACGCUAAUACCGCAUACGACCUACGGGUGAAAGCAGGGGACCUUCGGGCCUUGCGCGAUUGAAUGAGCCGAUGUCGGAUUAGCUAGUCGGCGGGGUAAAGGCCCACCAAGGCGACGAUCCGUAGCUGGUCUGAGAGGAUGAUCAGCAACACUGGAACUGAGACACGGUCCAGACUCCUACGGGAGGCAGCAGUGGGGAAUAUUGGACAAUGGGCGCAAGCCUGAUCCAGCCAUACCGCGUGGGUGAAGAAGGCCUUCGGGUUGUAAAGCCCUUUUGUUGGGAAAGAAAUCCAGCUGGCUAAUACCCGGUUGGGAUGACGGUACCCAAAGAAUAAGCACCGGCUAACUUCGUGCCAGCCGCCGCGGUAA